GAGGGUAUAGCUCAAAUGGUAGAGCGUAUGCUUAGCAUGCAUGAGGUCCUAAGUUCAAUCCCCAGUACUUCCU
Molecule: transfer RNA, 73 nt
Filed under: Camelus dromedarius (Arabian camel)
Lineage: Eukaryota; Metazoa; Chordata; Mammalia; Artiodactyla; Camelidae
Also listed under: 1 other name
Rfam family: tRNA
About the family: Transfer RNA (tRNA) molecules are approximately 80 nucleotides in length. Their secondary structure includes four short double-helical elements and three loops (D, anti-codon, and T loops).
Source: Rfam by way of RNAcentral